AAAGUCGGUUAGACAAUCGCUCCUAAAGUAAUUUAGGGGAGGAAAGUCCGGGCUCCAUAGGGCAAAGUGCCAGGUAACGCCUGGGAGGCGAGAGCCUACGGAAAGUGCCACAGAAAAUAUACCGCUCACGCAAGUGAGUAAGGGUGAAAUGGUGCGGUAAGAGCGCACCGCACGUCUGGUAACAGACGUGGCAGGGAAAACCCCACUCGGAGCAAGACCAAAUAGGAAUCCACUUGAUCGCAAGAUCAUAACGCAUGGCCCAUGCGGGAUUCGGGUAGGUUGCUUGAGGCAAACGGUGACGUUUGUCCCAGAUGAAUGAUUGUCCGCGACAGAACCCGGCUUAUCGACCGACUUUUUUC
RNAcentral lists this RNase P RNA (359 nucleotides) under Legionellaceae bacterium. RNAcentral's name for it is "RNase P RNA component class A". It matches the Rfam family "Bacterial RNase P class A". From Rfam's summary of the family: Ribonuclease P (RNase P) is a ubiquitous endoribonuclease, found in archaea, bacteria and eukarya as well as chloroplasts and mitochondria. The record is from RNAcentral. Lineage: Bacteria; Pseudomonadati; Pseudomonadota; Gammaproteobacteria; Legionellales; Legionellaceae.